This 924-nucleotide long non-coding RNA is filed under the name Gossypium barbadense (sea-island cotton). Its description in RNAcentral is "long non-coding RNA (GBAR_LNC003416)". Lineage: Eukaryota; Viridiplantae; Streptophyta; Magnoliopsida; Malvales; Malvaceae. The record is from RNAcentral.
CGGUACUCGUUUUUGUUAAAUAGAAUGCCCACCUAUUCGAUUCUAGCCAAACAUACACAAACUUAGUGAAGCCGACUGAAGCAACAUAUGCAUCAAUACAUUUAAAGAUCUCACUUAAUGUCCCAGGGCAAAGAUGGUUGUUCGAACACCAAGAGAUAGUGUGAGCAGAGUCAUAUUCAAUAACGAGGCUUUGUGAGUCGUUUCCCCUCCACUUGACAAACAACUUACAGCUUGAAGAAUCGCCAAUAGUGCAUCUUGUCCAUGAUCGAGCUCACCCAACAGUUUAGGAAACAUGGCUUUCAGCUUGCAUUUGUGGUCCCUAAGUAUGCCGCCACAACCAUCUAAUUAGUUUUACAUUUAUUUUCUUUCCAUAAUUUAGGAGAAACAAUUCAACUUUUAAAUCACUUCUUGAUUGCAAUAACUCAAUUGAGAUUUAUUUAAUGUUUUCUUAAUUUUAUUUAUGCUUUAAUUUUACCUCAUUUAUGUUACUUGCAAAUAUAUAAUGGGCUAAAUCAUUAUUAAGAUUAAGAAAUCCGCAUGUUAAUGGCUUAGUAAUCAAAACAAGAUUAAACACUAAUUUAAAAAAUAUGGCUACGUUUUAACUUUCUUUAUUUUAACUCAAGUCGUUAAUUUUAAAUAACAGAUAAGAUAACAAAGAUUUUAAGGAAAAGUGGUUUGAAAGCCAACCACCAACUCUGCAUUAGCAAACCAAAUGGAGAGGUUACCUAAGAUUAAUUCCAAGCAACAACCUCCAGUUGAAGACCCUAAAAACCAAGGGUGAAGCUGAUAACUAUAGUACAUCACCUGGAGGCGUUGUGGAAAGUACAUCAGUGACAUUUGUGCUUCUAAAGAACUUGACGUAGAUCUAGAGGUGCAUUUGUGUCAUUGAUUCUAAACAUAGGUUAAUUUUGAUAUAGAUUUUUU